UUUUUUUUUUUUUUUUGUGUAAUUGACAGCUGAAAAAUCACAUGCUCUUAAAUAUGACAACAAAACACUGUAAGCCCAUUGGCUUAUUUCCUCUUCCAAUGAAAAGAAAAGGUUGCCAUAACAGGUCUUGGAAAUGAUUCUACACUGGAGAACGCAAGUUAAGUCUAGUUGGAGCUCGCUUUGCUCCUGUGUUUUGCACCUUUGACAAAAGAAGUAUUUAUCUCUGGUUGAUGUAUUUGUGAAACAUAAAAGGAUGAUGGUCUGCUGUAAAGGACUUUCUCCUGGGAUUUUAUUUUUGUGUGGGGAAGGGAGAAUUUGGAAUACGACAUCAUGUGGUAUGGUAAAAUGGAAAAUAAAGGUGCUGUGACAGAUUAUUUAUCAGAAGAAUAUAAACCUUUUAAGGACAAUAUUAGAGUAUUUUAAUUGUUUCUGUUGAAGCAUUUAUCUUGUUAAUUUCUAAGAAAAAAGGGUGACGUCAAUCAAAGCAGCACUUUUUUUCAAAAUAUACAGACAUAAAUAAUAUGAUGUGGUUGAGUGUUAACAUAAUAAAUCAUAUACAGUAUGACAUUUUAAAGAAAUAAGUCUGCAUUGAUGUGAUUGCAUGCUUGUUUUUACAGUUCACUCCAUACCCAUCUGUGGAAAAAUGCAAUAAUAUGUUAAUAUAAUAUGGUAGUUUGAGAGAACCAGGUAGGUGCUACUAGACACAUUGAAAACUAGUAUAGGUUUACAAGAUAUUCAUGUCUUUCAAAACAUAAACAUGUAAAAGGCUGGCAAAGGAAGUCAUUCAGUUUAAUACCAAAAAUAUGGGUUCUUAUCACAGCAGUAAGUUACAGUAGCUAUAGUACAGUAUCAAAGUUUUCAGGACCUGGGGCCCAGUUCAACAAAGAUUUUAGCACAUAGUCAGCUUCAGGCAUCAGAGGAGUUCCCGUGGAGUAUAAGGCACUGUUCAUAUGCUUAAAAAUGAAGUGCUUCCCUGGAUGAGGGCCUUAUUUGCUCCAGUGGAAUUCCCCACCAGAGUGGUGUUUACACCUUCCUUCAUCCUUCCUAACUCCAGCUCGCUUGAAUAGUAGGGUUGUUUACCCAGCCAAGGUCAGGUAGGGCCUUCAAAAACAGGAUUGACCUUGUGGUAACCAUUUCAAACCAUAUUCUCCACUGGCAUACAAACAGCAUUUCAACUUGGCAAAAAACCAGAUAUAUAAACUGUACUGUUAAGAUAGGUUUGUUUUUCUUUCCAUUGGCUUGCAAUUAAAACUGCUCACAUGUGCUAAUUUUUAACCCAUUUGAUCUUCCAUUGUCUUGCACCUGGUGAUGUCCCUUGCAGCUGUGCACAGCAGGUAGGAAAAGCCCCAUGCAGAGCGUUCUACCUGGACAGCACUUUGCAGGCCUGUCUGGUCUUCACGGGUUCUAAUUACUACACUGGGUGUAGAGAGGCAUCCCUCUUUUCUGUAAGCAGAAUCAUGGCUCAACACUAAUGACAUUAAGUAGGCUAAAAGCCAGUUGUCCAUUCCUUUUGCUCGAGUUCCCAUUCUGGAAAAAAAAAAAAAAAAAAAGUUUUUACGAUGGUGUGAGGCACCCAGCGAGUGUGUAAAAUGGAGGCUCUGAAUGGGAACCACCUUCACUAAAAUGUAUGUGACAUCCUCUCCCUCACUCACUUGCAGAGUAGUUUUCUCCAGACCAGGUAGCUAGUUUCUGCCAGUGUACUGUUUACAGUGUCGACUGCUGAUUAUUUUUAAACCUUUUGAUGUAGACUUUACUUUUUUUGGUAUUUUUUUUUUGUAUUUUUUUAAUGCUUCAAGAACAUUCUCAUGAUGUGAACAAGAAAGCGGUGCAUCAGAAGACAAGGGGUGCAUCAUCCCACUGUUUUAGUGUCAUCUGACAAACCAAGAGACAGUUUAAGGAACCUGAUGUUUUACUUGAGGCUCAGAGUUUAGGCUAGAACAUCUCAGAAAGUUUCCACAUUACUUAAGGAUGGUUCGUCUUGCACUGAGACUCCCUCUCUAAAGGAACACAUGAAAAAAAACCAACUUUUCUAAGUGAGACAUGACAGUUAACAUCUUGUGUGUUUUCAUUGCAGUAUAAUAUAUAUAUAAAUAUAUAUAUAUAUAGCUAUUUCAAUGAAAAGAAAGGACAGAAUCAUCUGUAAUUAUGUAAUUCAUGAUUGUAACAGCACUGAAGUUACCAUGUACGCACAUGUACAGUAGCUCUUUCAACAGUUACAGUGUAGUUACAUGUAAUUCCCUGUAACAUAGCAGUUCUAGUGUAAUUUAGUGCCACUUAUUGUAAAGUGUUACCAAAAGGAAAACGGACUUCUUACCUUUAGAAUUCCGUUCCAAUUAAAGGUAAGUUUAUUAAAUUAGCAUCAUUAAAUCUGAUAUUGCGUUUCUUAAUUAAGGAGAUGAUUUAAAACAUUCAUGUUCACACUGCAGCUUCCCCCCAUGGCUUACCCAGACUCCUCCAAAUGUCUAAUCUCUACACUCCUAGGGACUGGUAAUCUGUGAUGAACAUACCAAAAAUCCCAGCUACUCCAACUUUAAUUGAGCAAGCUGUCUAAUAACGAAAAACAGCAACAACAAAAAUGAUGAGUAAUGCUUUUUAUUAAGUGGCACAAAUCACAAGGGAAAAGUGGAAGGUACAUCUACAAGCAGUGGAUAUCCAAAUGCAAUAUGUGUAAUUCCUCUACUUGCAAUGACAACGGAUUUAUAAAAAAUACUGCUCCUCAUUCUCAUCAGCUUUGCUUUCCAUUUCUUGGAGCACCAUUAAAUACCACUGAAACACCUUUAGGCAAAGUAAGACACUGACUCCUCUAAUGGCUUUGCUUCCAGCACUCUGAAUGUCUGGCAACACAGUUCUGUAAUCUUAUUGCUGGCUCAACAGCACAAGUUUCAUCUUUUUUUCUGUCCUCAAGGGAGCCUAGUAUGUUAGGAUGCUGAAAUAUGCUGCCAUAUGCCCUGGUAUUUUUAGCAGGAACAACAGAGAAAGAGAGAGAGAGAGCUGCAUUCUUCUGACCCCUAUUUUGCUGAAUCAUCUCACCUGGAAUUUCCACUACUUGCUCAGUAAUGCCAGGUAAUCUUAAAUUUUAAGUACAAAAUGUUUCCGUUACAUUACAGAGGAUGCCCUAAAUGUAAAACUAAUGUUUUUGUAAACAUGAAGUUUUGUAUUGUAGAUCUUUUUCCUUCUUGACACUUUUCCAUCUUGCCCUUCCAGAAGAAAUGCACCAAAAGAUAGAUAACAUAGAAUAGCAAAAGAAGAGAAUUUUUUGUAAGCCUUCUUGUAGUUGCCAUUGCUAUCACCCUCCUUUGUGUCCUGUGUAACAGGCAAAUAAAUGUAUUUAGCAACUGCCAUUACCAUUAUUCCACAUUAUACUAUUCCUAGAAUAUGACAUCUACCUCUUAGUCUAAAUACUAGCUAUGAGAUAUUUGUAUACAUUUUAAAUACUAUUGAAACUUUGCUUUAGUCUUGAAAUGAAAUCACUGUAUUUUUUUUUUUUCUGUUAAAAACAGGUAAAAAUAUUUUCUGGGUUCAUAAUUCUUGCCCUGUUCUUAUUAAUUUUGGUAUAGUUUUAUCUUUUUAACAGGGCAUAAGGACACAGCCUCAGCUGGUAUAAAUCAGCUUCACUCUGUUGCCUUAAAUGUGGGCCAAUUUAUGCUGGCUGGGGAUUCAUCCCAAACAGCUUAAAAAUAAACUGCUAUAACACAUCAAUAUUUAGUCAGCUCUGGAUAAUGAUUUGCAAUCCAACUGCAACACAAUUCUUCCAAGUAAGACAUGCACGUAUGAAAAGAAACUUUAAAAAGCACAUGCAAGCUUUUGAAUUAAAUAUGCAAUAUCAACACUGUUGAUAUAUCCUGACUUGUCUCUCACCUAUUUAAACAUUGCCAGGGCAUGUUUACAUUAAAAACACUCAAUGCAUGGGGAGCAGAGAAGGACUAUUGCAAACAGCAGGAGAAAAUUAAAUUAAUAGAGAAGCCUUUGAUGUCAACAGAACAGAGUAGAAACUCUUUUGAGAGUAGGACUUCCUAUAGGGCUUUUCAGGGUGGACCUAAGGCAUCUAAAACACAUGAAAGUUGUUUACUUGGCAUUAAGAGAAGCUAGGACAGUUCCUUCUUGCUAUCGAGGAAUUUUACCCAGCACUCUGCACUUCUUUUAACUCAGGAGAAAAUAAAGGUACAAACAUGGUUGAACAGCACACUUCUGUUUCACUCCACAUCCUCAGGAUGCUCCAAGCCGUGUGCUUCCAGCAGCCCUUAAGAGAAUUCUUCCAGCAUCUAGGAAUCAUCCUGUUGCCAAGCUGUGUUCAUUUCCUUCAGCAAUGUUUAAUGUACUCAAAACCAGACCAGAAGGUGUGAAGCCAAUUUGAAUGAGUCUGCAGUUCUAGGGGAUUCCAGAGCCUUGCAGUAGAUGGGGAAAGAAAAUUUUAAAAAAAAAUUCUUCAUGGUUUCUAUGUUUACUGUAGGUCUGCCCUGCACAUUCUGUGUCUUAAGUCAUUUAUUCUCUGCUGGGCUAAAAGCAGCAGUCUAAUUGGAAAGGAGGAAGGAAAACUAUCUCCUCUAAAAGGAGCAGUCUGUGCUACUAUUAAAGAAAAGUUCAAGGGUUUUUGUUUCUUCUCUUUUUUAAGAUUUCAGGUGCAAAGCCAAGCCUGUUGGGGUCAGCACUUUAGCACUUUCCCUGUGUUCAGGGUCAAGCCAGCAGUGUUUCAUGUGUGAGCUCUGGUCUCAUGUUUCAGCACAAACUGCAGACAGACUUAGCCUGCCCUUAUGCAUAGUGCUGAAAAUCACCAAUGCUAUUUUCUUCUAAACAUAAUAAUUUUCUCAGUCUUGUUCUAAAAUAAAGAAUUGAAGGGGUUUUAUAAUAGGUGUAAAGGGAGGGAGUUUAAAGUAAUAGUUUGUAAAUAAGAUUGUAAGGAUGAUCAUCAACUCUUUAUGUUGAUUAUAAAGAGGAGAUCGUCUUUAAUUGCUGGGCUGAUUUCUUUAUCAUUUUCUCUUUCUCUCCUUUCUAUGCAUAUUGAUUAAUGUUAGUAAAUAUGCAGUUGCACAUGUUGUCCUUUUCCAGUGAAUGCAGAUUUGCUUAUACCCCUAUAUAGCUUUCAUAGAAAUAUGCAAAUAUAACCUACAGUCAUCUGCUUCUGCCAAAACAGUGAGCCAAGAGAGGGAAAUCAUGGAUUACUGGAUUCAUAUAUGUCCUGCUUCCAUCAAAAUUGAGUACAGUACGCCUAUUGAUCUCACAAGAACAAGGCUCAAGUCCUUAAUGCACAUGUUUGAGUUGCUAUUUAGCUCUUUUUCAAAAGAAUUAUAAAGCAAUCCUUGUGCGUCCUUUACUUUUAGCCUAGAUAUUUUAUAACUACAAAACCCCUUUAGUUCACCAGGAAGUUUCCUAGAAUAAAUAAUAAGGGAUAAUUUGUGAAAGGACUAUAACAACCUCAUCUAUUCAUGCUCAGUGUCAGUGUAUUCUCCUAGGAACUCUGGUGUUCUUUGCUCUUACACUGGCAAUUUAUAGCCCUGAGAAGGAUAUAUUCGAAUGGUUCAGAAAUACAACCACUGACCUGUAAAAAAAAACCACAAAACCAUGGGAAUUAAACAUAUUGCACUGAUGAUGAGACACAUCAAUUUCAUUUUAUUUCCUCAUUAACAACUUUAAACAGACAAAAUGCAUAUUGUAAUGUUGGGUACAUGACACUUGCAUGUUGCUAUGCCUAUAUACUUACAAAGUAUUCAAUGUGUACUUGGUGGCGCUUAAAAAUGUCAUGUACAAUUCUAAACAUUCUUACAGGGUUCCCAUUUGCACUUCAUCUUUCAGAAAAGUCUUGUCAGAAAAUUGUCUGAUGAAUAUUAUUGAAAAAAAAAUAAAAUUUCAAUUUUA
This is a long non-coding RNA of Taeniopygia guttata (zebra finch), 5853 nucleotides long. The record is from Ensembl. NCBI's taxonomy places the organism in Eukaryota, Metazoa, Chordata, Aves, Passeriformes, Estrildidae.